This 168-nucleotide ribosomal RNA is filed under the name Pseudomonas sp. enrichment culture DGGE band A3. RNAcentral describes it as "partial 16S ribosomal RNA". It matches the Rfam family "Bacterial small subunit ribosomal RNA", at positions 364 to 524 of the family's 1533-position model. The record is from RNAcentral. Lineage: Bacteria; Pseudomonadati; Pseudomonadota; Gammaproteobacteria; Pseudomonadales; Pseudomonadaceae.
UUGGACAAUGGGCGAAAGCCUGAUCCAGCCAUGCCGCGUGUGUGAAGAAGGUCUUCGGAUUGUAAAGCACUUUAAGUUGGGAGGAAGGGCAGUUACCUAAUACGUGACUGUUUUGACGUUACCGACAGAAUAAGCACCGGCUAACUCUGUGCCAGCAGCCGCGGUAAU